This 484-nucleotide ribosomal RNA is filed under the name uncultured bacterium. RNAcentral describes it as "partial 16S ribosomal RNA". It matches the Rfam family "Bacterial small subunit ribosomal RNA", at positions 30 to 507 of the family's 1533-position model. The record is from RNAcentral.
AUUGAACGCUGGCGGCAGGCCUAACACAUGCAAGUCGAGCGGAUGAAGGGAGCUUGCUCCUGGAUUCAGCGGCGGACGGGUGAGUAAUGCCUAGGAAUCUGCCUGGUAGUGGGGGAUAACGUCCGGAAACGGGCGCUAAUACCGCAUACGUCCUGAGGGAGAAAGUGGGGGAUCUUCGGACCUCACGCUAUCAGAUGAGCCUAGGUCGGAUUAGCUAGUUGGUGGGGUAAAGGCCUACCAAGGCGACGAUCCGUAACUGGUCUGAGAGGAUGAUCAGUCACACUGGAACUGAGACACGGUCCAGACUCCUACGGGAGGCAGCAGUGGGGAAUAUUGGACAAUGGGCGAAAGCCUGAACCAGCCAUGCCGCGUGUGUGAAGAAGGUCUUCGGAUUGUAAAGCACUUUAAGUUGGGAGGAAGGGCAGUAAGCUAAUACCUUGCUGUUUUGACGUUACCAACAGAAUAAGCACCGGCUAACUUCGUG